AAGCGAGAGAAGGGCAUUUGGUGGAUGCCUUGGCAUCGAGAGGCGAUGAAGGACGUAGCACGCUGCGAUAAGCCCCGGGGAGUUGCGAGCAGACUUUGAUCCGGGGAUUUCCGAAUGGGGAAACCCACCCCUGUAGGGGUAUCCUGCGCUGAAUACAUAGGCGUAGGAGGCUAACCCGGCGAACUGAAACAUCUCAUUAGCCGGAGGAAAGGACAUCAACCGAGACUCCGUCAGUAGUGGCGAGCGAACGCGGACCAGGCCAGUGGCAAGACCGUAAGAACCGGAAGCGUCUGGAAAGGCGGGCCAUAGCGGGUGACAGCCCCGUACGGGUAGAAAGCGGACUUGUCCUCGAGUAGGGCGGGACACGAGAAAUCCUGUCUGAACAUGGGGGGACCACCCUCCAAGCCUAAGUACUCCUCGAUGACCGAUAGUGAACUAGUACCGUGAGGGAAAGGUGAAAAGCACCCCGACGAGGGGAGUGAAAGAGACCUGAAACCGGAUGCCUACAAGCAGUGGGAGCCCUUCGGGGUGACCGCGUACCUUUUGUAUAAUGGGUCAGCGAGUUGGUGUUGCGAGCAAGCUUAAGCCGUUAGGUGUAGGCGUAGCGAAAGCGAGUCUGAACAGGGCGCUUGAGUUCGCAGUAUCAGACCCGAAACCUGGUGAUCUAGCCAUGGGCAGGUUGAAGGUGGGGUAACACCCACUGGAGGACCGAACCCACCUAUGUUGAAAAAUGGGGGGAUGACCUGUGGCUAGGGGUGAAAGGCCAAUCAAACCAGGAAAUAGCUGGUUCUCCGCGAAAACUAUUUCGGUAGUGCGUCGCGUGUUUACCGCCGGGGGUAGAGCACUGGAUGGGCUAGGGGGCUCUACAGGCUUACCAAACCUAACCAAACUCCGAAUACCGGCGAGUAUGAGCGCGGCAGACAGACCAUGGGUGCUAAGGUCCGUGGUCGAAAGGGAAACAGCCCAGACCGCCAGCUAAGGUCCCCAAGUCAUGGCUAAGUGGGAAAGGAAGUGGGAAGGCCAAGACAACCAGGAGGUUGGCUUAGAAGCAGCCAUCCUUUAAAGAAAGCGUAACAGCUCACUGGUCUAGAUAAGCCGUCCCGCGCCGAAGAUGUACCGGGGCUCAAGCCAUGCACCGAAGCUGCGGGGUUCAGAGAACAGUUGUCAGAUGUCAGAGGACAGAAAAGGAGGGGCGUCUUCGUUUGAGGACCUUGAGGUUUUCAAGCAGGCGUAUCGGGCCUCCCUGGACGUCCAUCGGGCAAGCCUGGACUUUCCCGCUGUGGAACAGCGGGCGCUGGCAGACCAAGUCCGCCGAGCGAGCAAGUCAAUCUGUGCGAACCUGGCUGAAGGGUUCGCGCGUCAGGGAGUUGCCCCCGCCGAUUUCCGCCGUUUCAUCAUGAUUGCCAUGGGGUCGAGUGACGAGAUGCGCGUGUGGUCGCGUUAUUGUCUAGACCUUGGUUACAUCGAUGAAGCGAAAUGGAAAUGCUGGCGCGACGAGUAUCAGGAAAUUUCCAAGAUGCUGCAGGGAUUGCACAAAUCCCUGAGGCAGAGGAUCUGAUCCCUGACUUCUGUCAUCUGUUCUCUGGACCGGUAGCGGAGCGUUCCGUAGGCCUGCGAAGGUGUGCCGCGAGGCAUGCUGGAGGUAUCGGAAGUGAGAAUGCUGACAUGAGUAGCGAUAAAGAGGGUGAGAAACCCUCUCGCCGAAAGUCCAAGGGUUCCUGCGCAAGGCUAAUCCGCGCAGGGUGAGCCGGCCCCUAAGGUGAGGGCGAAAGCCGUAGCCGAUGGGAACCAGGUUAAUAUUCCUGGGCCUGCCGGAGGUGACGAACGCCGAUAGUCGUAUCCGCUUAUCGGAUUGUGGGUGCGGCGUAGGCGUUCCAGGAAACAACCCCGGCAUUACAGACCGUACCCUAAACCGACACAGGUGGACAGGUAGAGCAUACCAAGGCGCUUGAGAGAACGGUGUUGAAGGAACUCGGCAAAUUGCACCCGUAACUUCGGGAUAAGGGUGACCUCCCGCCGGGCAACCGGUGGGGGGUGGCACAGACCAGGGGGUGGCGACUGUUUACUAAAAACACAGGGCUCUGCGAAGUCGCAAGACGACGUAUAGGGUCUGACGCCUGCCCGGUGCCGGAAGGUUAAGAGGAAGGGUGAGAGCUCUGAAUCGAAGCCCCGGUAAACGGCGGCCGUAAAUAUAACGGUCCUAAGGUAGCGAAAUUCCUUGUCGGGUAAGUUCCGACCUGCACGAAUGGCGUAACGACUUCCCCGCUGUCUCCAACACCGACUCAGCGAAAUUGAAUUCUCCGUGAAGAUGCGGAGUACCCGCGGUUGGACGGAAAGACCCCGUGCACCUUUACUAUAGCUUUGCAGUGGUACUAGGGGGUAACUGUGUAGGAUAGGUGGGAGGCUUUGAAGCGUGGGCGUCAGCUCACGUGGAGCCAACCUUGAAAUACCACCCUUUUGUUCUCUGGUAUCUAACCGUGGCCCGUUAAUCCGGGUCCGGGACCCUGCAUGGUGGGUAGUUUGGCUGGGGCGGUCGCCUCCCAAAAGGUAACGGAGGCGCGCGAUGGUGGGCUCAAGCUGGUCGGAAAUCAGCUGUUGAGUGUAAUGGCACAAGCCUGCCUGACUGCGAGACUGACAGGUCGAGCAGAGACGAAAGUCGGCCAUAGUGAUCCGGUGGUCCCGCGUGGAAGGGCCAUCGCUCAUCGGAUAAAAGGUACGCCGGGGAUAACAGGCUAAUACCCCCCAAGAGUUCACAUCGACGGGGGUGUUUGGCACCUCGAUGUCGGCUCAUCACAUCCUGGGGCUGGAGCAGGUCCCAAGGGUUCGGCUGUUCGCCGAUUAAAGUGGUACGUGAGCUGGGUUUAGAACGUCGUGAGACAGUUCGGUCCCUAUCUGCCGUGGGUGUAGGAGACUUGAGAGGAGCUGCCCCUAGUACGAGAGGACCGGGGUGGACGUACCUCUGGUGGACCAGUUGUCGCGCCAGCGGCACAGCUGGGUAGCUAAGUACGGACGGGAUAACCGCUGAAAGCAUCUAAGCGGGA
This 3041-nucleotide ribosomal RNA is filed under the name uncultured organism. RNAcentral describes it as "bacterial LSU rRNA". It matches the Rfam family "Bacterial large subunit ribosomal RNA". The record is from RNAcentral.